This 460-nucleotide ribosomal RNA is filed under the name uncultured bacterium. RNAcentral's name for it is "partial 16S ribosomal RNA". It matches the Rfam family "Bacterial small subunit ribosomal RNA", at positions 338 to 795 of the family's 1533-position model. The record is from RNAcentral.
CCUACGGGAGGCAGCAGUGAGGAAUAUUGGUCAAUGGACGAGAGUCUGAACCAGCCAAGUAGCGUGAAGGACGACUGCCCUAUGGGUUGUAAACUUCUUUUAUAUGGGAAUAAAAUGUUCCACGUGUGGGAUUCUGUAUGUACCAUAUGAAUAAGGAUCGGCUAACUCCGUGCCAGCAGCCGCGGUAAUACGGAGGAUCCGAGCGUUAUCCGGAUUUAUUGGGUUUAAAGGGAGCGUUGGUGGGUUGUUAAGUCAGGUGUGAAAGUUUGCGGCUCAACCGUAAAAUAGCAGUUGAAACUGGCAGUCUUGAGGACAGUAGAGGUGGGCGGAAUUCGUGGUGUAGCGGUGAAAUGCUUAGAUAUCACGAAGAACUCCGAUUGCGAAGGCAGCUCACUGGACUGCAACUGACACUGAGGCACGAAAGCGUGGGGAUCGAACAGGAUUAGAUACCCGAGUAGUC